Molecule: ribosomal RNA, 392 nt
Filed under: uncultured bacterium
Lineage: Bacteria
Description: partial 16S ribosomal RNA
Rfam family: Bacterial small subunit ribosomal RNA
Source: RNAcentral
AUACGGAGGAUCCGAGCGUUAUCCGGAUUUAUUGGGUUUAAAGGGAGCGUAGGCGGACGCUUAAGUCAGUUGUGAAAGUUUGCGGCUCAACCCCAUUCUGCCGUUGAUACUGGGUGGCUUGAUUGCGGUCGAGGUUGGCGGAAUUCGUUGUGUAGCGGUGAAAUGCAUAGAUAUGACGAAGAACACCGAUUGCGUAGGCAGCUGACCAGACCGCAAAUGACGCUCAUGCACGAAAGUGCGGGGAUCGAACAGGAUUAGAUACCCUGGUAGUCCGCACAGUAAACGAUGAAUACUUGUUUUCGGCGAUAUAAUGUCGGAGGCAAAGCGAAAGCGAUAAGUAUUCCACCUGGGGAGUACGCCGGCAACGGUGAAACUCAAAUGAAUUGGCGGGG